CAGCUUUUAGCUGGCUGAAAGGAAAAGCACCACACAGCCUGCGCAGUUGCACACAUACCCAAAGGUAUUCUGGUAACGUCGCCGUUUGGAAGACGUGACUCUGCUUACUACAGGACCCGAUCCUGCAUUCCUGAUUCUUGUUGAGUUGAAUGGGAGUUCGGGGAAUAGAUGGAGGAUCGCCUGGGCAUGCAUGAACAGGACCAUGGGACUCAGAUGUUUACUUCCCCACCAAGGGACUGGAAGGACAGGGAUUGCUGAUUUGCCAAGAUGUGUUUGAUUGGUGCACUGUGUGAGACUAGCUGCUGCUUUUGUUUUGUAGUUGUGAACAAUAUUGUUAAUUGAUGGCCAGGCACCUAGCACUUGGAAUAGGAG
This is a long non-coding RNA of Dermochelys coriacea (leatherback sea turtle), 372 nucleotides long. RefSeq lists it as uncharacterized. Lineage: Eukaryota; Metazoa; Chordata; Testudines; Dermochelyidae. The record is from RefSeq and is a predicted model, not a curated record. The transcript is spliced from 3 exons.